GUAUUCACGUAUAGGUUUAGGAUUCUCCCACAGUGGGCAUCUAAUUAUUUAUAGCUUUGUUACCAAGAAACAUAUUCCUUGUUUAUAAAGAAACUGCAUAAAGGGUAACUUCACAUCUUAACACAAAAGUAGUGGCAGGAAGUAUGAGUGACUCAUGUCUCCCCCCUUCUCACACUUUUUGAGUAAGUAGACUUAUUAUUUCUCCUAUCACGCGAUGCACAGCUCCACAGUAGCAGUACACAAGUUGAUUGCAUAGGAAGUUGUCACUUGUGUAAAAACAUAAAAAGCUAUCCUAAGUUGUUUACAAACCACUCUGUUAAUAAGGCUAAGUGACUGUAUUCUGUUCUUAGUGGAAAUCAUAUCAGCAUAUCAAUGAGAGCCUAAAUUUUAACAGGAUUAAUGGAACAGCAAAAAAUUGGUUUAUGAUGAGUAGUUAAAUCAGGACCAAAAUAUAUAUACUGAGCAAUAUUGUGAACUUUCUUUACCAUAAAGACUGGAGCUCAGAAGAGCCACUGCCAGUCAGUGUGAACAGUACUGAGCUAGGUGGAUCAAUGGUCUGACUCUGUAUAAGGUAGCUUCCUGUAUUCACAAGUCAUGUGAAUUAUUUUUGUGUCAUGUUUUCACUUACCUGCCAUGUAAUACUCAAGAGUCUAAUGCGGCUGAUAGGUAACAAAUCACCUUUGAUCUUAAUCUUAUGUUCCCAGUUUCUCCUAGGGGCGAAGAGAACUAGAAGUCACCUGCUUCCUGGCAGGUUUUCAUUUGUCUUAGAAGGAAAACAAGCACGGGACCUUUUCUUUAUCCAGUUUAGCUAACACUUUUAAUAUCAGAGUAGCACUGCCGCAGACCCUUUCAACUAGGAUGCUUGCAUGGCCUGAUCCCUUUUUCCAAUGGCAGACUUCUCUUACCACUGAGAGGGAGAUCCAAAAACAUCCUUUGGCAUCUUUCAGAGACUAUAAGAUUGCACCAUAUGUGUUGCAUAUGUUUAUUCACUGCUCAGACUGUUAAGACUUACAGCUGAGAGAUUUCAUCAUGUGUUCCUUGGUCAACAGUUUCACUCAAAUGACAGAGAUGUUGAGUCAAUCAGAUGACCUACAUUCUGCUGACCUGAAAAGGUGUGGAAGUGAAAAGAGAAUAAAUAUUGUUAAGUAUUUUUAGUGAGAAAUGAAAUAUUGCUAAGGAUUAUUAUAUGAGGAUUCUUAUUAAUACCUGUAUCCCUGUUCACAUAGAGGGCAGGCAUCCCAACGGCUGUAUAAUUAUUAUUUUUAUUAUUACUCACCCUUCACCAGCAGUAGAUCUCCCAGUCACCUAUGCAGAGGGAUGAAGGUGAUCUUCCCUGGCAAGUCACCGCAUUGCAGGGAGUGGAGCAGGGGAGGCUUUGGGCCUGCUAGAUACAAAGCCCUCCAGGUCUCCCAGCGAGCUCCCCGAAUGCAGGAAAAGUAAGUGAGGCCUGACUCUAAUAUAUUAUUUCAGUCCCAUUGGGAGCAGUGGGAGAGAAAAUCCAUAAAAAGUUAAGGAGGAACCCUCUCUCCCCUGUAUACACACACACAUUGUGCCAUGCUGGUAUGAGCCGGGCACAGCUUUUGAUUGGGCAGCUUUUUCACCUUCACAUCUUCCCCUUCUGCCUCUCCUGCACUCCCUUUGCUCUGCUCAUUCAUUGUUAAGCAGUAACUUGUGUAUGCAUAGCCAGGGGAAGGGAGUGCUAUUACACAAGAGUGUCUGGAACACUUUGCCACCAGUAUUGAAGACUCUUUGGGACAAAUUUUAGGUGAAAGGGUUGUUGACUUUAGUUGCAUAAAGCACUCGAAAUGAGCUUGCCGAGCACUAUUUAAAAAGCUUGCUUACCAAUGUGUACAGUGCACUGGACUUCUGCCUGUGUGUUGCCUCCAUUUUUAAAGAGGUGUUUACAUUUCUCUUUGGAAAUAAAUCCUCACCCGCUUUAAAAAGUAGUAGUCCAUAUUGGCCAGUUGGCAUAAAGUAUUCCACUAAGAAAUUGCAACUCAGCUAUUACUUGUUGCAUGUUUAUGGAUCCAAGGCUGUUUGGUCUGAGUUCUAGCCCCUUCUCUGCAUUCUGAGAUGUCUUGAGUACUUUGUUUCUGAAGGUGCCCAGCCUGCCAUGUCCACCUCUUAGUUAACUUGGAUGUUUCAGAGUUGAAAUUAAAGAUCUAAUAAAUGUUUAAGUUAAAAUAAAAUGAUUUUGCUUUUGCCAGCCUACAGUCCUACAUAAACAAUAGGUGGAAACACAUAGUUCAGUUGUAUGCAUGUUUAUCUGUAAACACGUGGUCUUUGAGCAUUUUUGCAUUGGAAAACUUACUCCUGUUUCACUGUCACGGGAUUGUUGUCAGAAUGAUAGUUAAGGGGUGCUGCUAACAGCAGAGAACUCUGCCAGAACUAGUAGGCCUCAAAGAAAUAUUGGUCUCUCCUCCUCUGCCCCCUCCCCCUUGCUGAACCACUGGCAAGGAAUUAUAUUGUACUAAUAUGAAAAGUCAGAUGAAACCACUAUAUUUUUCUACCCUAGGUAAGUAAAGGAAGUGGAUCAUGCUGCUGGGCAUUCCCUGAAAUUUAGGCAAUGUGGUGUAGUUGUUAGAGGGCAGUCCUACAUCCAUCACUGCCUCAUCUCACUCAUCCUACCUCAUGUGGGUAGUAUGGGCAUGCAUGGGUCAUCCCUCUAAAAUGGAUGUAGAAGUAUUGUCCUUAGAACAGCCCAUCUUAAAAUUCACAAAGACUACGGUCUAUGUUUCUAAAUACAGCUCUGAAAGGAGACUCACUUCUCUGCAAAAAUACCCUCUGUAUUUAGGUAAGGACAUAUUCCCACCACACUACUCUUUGCUGUUUUGCUUUGACUGCUCUAAAGUAUUAAAAUAUACUUGAAUACCGGAACAUCACUUGACUAUAUUUACAAAGUCAUGCAACAGAUAUAGAUACCUUCUCUUCCUCAAUAAUCCUGUUGGUCAGGUUCUACCUGUGUCCUUAGAGCUGGGUGAGCGAAAUAAGAUGUCCAUAGAUAUUCAACUGAGUAAUUUUCAGAUAUGUAUAUUAUAUAUUUGGUUGGCUAAGGCUUACAAGGAAGCAUAUUUUGGAUUAAGUAAGCCCACAUUGUACAACUAAGUAUCCAGUUUUACAACAAUGUCACUUUUAAUUACUGUAUAGCACUGUGGUGGUGUAAUUAAAGUAAACAAAUAUAAUAAAGAAUUGUUGGGUACAUGCAUACAGCACGUUCAGUUUGAAGUGUAGGCCUAUUAAAGGAGCUGUGAUAUUUAAUGGGCAUGCCGUAUGCAAAUUGAGAUUAAACUUGUCCAGUAUAUUGUAGGGGAAAAACAGCUUGGCAGCCAAUGCAGUUUUGCUGUAGGUGGAGUUUUGGCUUUUAUCUCCUGAAGGAUCUGGGCAUGGGUUGGUAAUCUCUUCCACGGUGAAUGCCAAGCUCAGUUUUCCCUGAACUGGGUUAAAGUGCAACAUCUUGCCUGUAUCUGUUUGUCAAGAUAGCAGGGGUAAGAAACUCUGAAAGUUCUACUUGCCAGGAUUGUGUAGCAUAUAAUAGAUGAAACACUUGUGUUUCAUGUUACCCUUAUGUCUUGUUUUAUUGGAGUUUAAUAUUCAGUCUGUGGUUUAAUUUCUUAAACUGUAGUCCUUUGUAUUUACCAUGAAAUAAUUUUUGUUGAAAUUGGUAUAAUUUACUUCUCAGUAAAUGUGGAUAGGGUAUGAUUGUUAAAUGUUUUACCUAACACUUAGUGCAAACUGCAGGGUGGGUUUGGUAGCAUUGUGGAUCUUAUUCAUUUAUGAAAUCUUAUUUGUAUACUUCAAAUAUUUAAAAGUUUUGAAUUGCCAGAGAGAAUUUUGGUAUUUUGGCCUUUUGGGUGAUGUGGUGUAGGAUAGUGGCAUUUUGUCCUUCUCCAGCAUGAUUUUUCUUAUUCAUUACACCAAAAGCUACACUACUACUGAAUAUCUAAGCCUCAACACUUGUAAUGGACAUCCAUUUAUGUAGUAUGUAGAUAGGCUUUGACUUAUUUGUAUAUCCUUCAAGGCCAUUAAAUGUUCAGUAGGGAGUAAACAUGAUUCUGUAGUGCUCUGACCUGGAUCAACUAUCCCUAGUUUUCUUUAUUCAACAAUCUGAAAUGCUUCGCCUUGCAUAGUUAAAUAUGCAUUGGAUUCUGACAUAUAUUAAUUCUAUGCAGAGUCAUAGUAGGACAGAACUACGAACAUUCUGUGGUUACACAGACUUUUGAAGCUUAUUCCAGGAGUGUCUCUGUAGAUUUUAUGUAUAGUUUGUAAUAUGGGAUUUGUAAAUAGUAUUUAUAUGGUAAUUGGGCUGUGCUUUCAGUUGCAUUUCUUGAAAAACUGGUAGGGAAAUUAAUAGGGAAUGGCUUACUCAGUUGUUUCUUCUGAGCUAUGACAACAACAACAACAACUUCAUUAUUUCUACCCCAGCCAACUCUUGGCGGCUAUAUCUGCGAUACGUCCCAUACUUUAAAUGCCUAGCUUUAUAAAUUGCAUGCCACUGGCAUGCAAUCUAAAUUCUUCUAAAUUCUAAACUUCUAAAUUCUGGCAUUUUGCUUGUCUCCCUUAGUGGUCACAAUCUCUCAUCUGCUUUACAUGUAAAUGUACAUGAUUGGAUGUAUGCAUCUUUGAGUUGGUCUGAUGGACUAGCAAAUGGAUUUUAAGAGCCCUAUGCUACUUGAAGAGCAUAGACAACUGCCAAGGACUUACUACCCACAAAAUGCUCAAGCUUUCUUAGAGUACAAAUGAUAAUUGUCAAUAUCAUAGUUCUAUUUUUUAUGAUAAUAUUAUUUCUUGGAACUCAUUGAGCCAAGUUGUAAUCUUUGCAUUAAGGCCAAUGUGUACCCAUGUAAAAAGCCACCUUGUCUUUUUGUGUGUGUGUCCUCUGUAGCAAAAUGCUGCUCUAAAAAAGGAAAUGAGACAACGUUGCAUUCUUAAGGGUUGACUUUACUCUGGCUUAUGUGGUACUUCAGGCUCUAUUAUUCUGAAAAUAGUCACGUUUGUCAACAGUUCAAACAUGGCUGUGACCAGAGUGCUAUUCUUAACCUUGACUGUCUCUUGACAAAUACCGUAUUUUUUGCUCU
Molecule: non-coding RNA, 5075 nt
Organism: Podarcis lilfordi (Lilford's wall lizard)
Lineage: Eukaryota; Metazoa; Chordata; Lepidosauria; Squamata; Lacertidae
Source: the annotation of a GenBank genome assembly